GGAAUAUUGGACAAUGGGCGAAAGCCUGAUCCAGCCAUGCCGCGUGUGUGAAGAAGGUCUUCGGAUUGUAAAGCACUUUAAGUUGGGAGGAAGGGUAGUAACUUAAUACGUUGCUACUUUGACGUUACCGACAGAAUAAGCACCGGCUAACUUCGUGCCAGCAGCCGCGGUAAUACGAAGGGUGCAAGCGUUAAUCGGAAUUACUGGGCGUAAAGCGCGCGUAGGUGGUUCAGUAAGUUGAAUGUGAAAUCCCCGGGCUCAACCUGGGAACUGCAUCCAAAACUGCUGGGCUAGAGUACGGUAGAGGGUAGUGGAAUUUCCUGUGUAGCGGUGAAAUGCGUAGAUAUAGGAAGGAACACCAGUGGCGAAGGCGACUACCUGGACUGAUACUGACACUGAGGUGCGAAAGCGUGGGGAGCAAACAGGAUUAGAUACCCGGG
RNAcentral lists this ribosomal RNA (440 nucleotides) under uncultured Pseudomonas sp. RNAcentral describes it as "bacterial SSU rRNA". It matches the Rfam family "Bacterial small subunit ribosomal RNA", at positions 358 to 790 of the family's 1533-position model. Lineage: Bacteria; Pseudomonadati; Pseudomonadota; Gammaproteobacteria; Pseudomonadales; Pseudomonadaceae. The record is from RNAcentral.